Molecule: ribosomal RNA, 406 nt
Filed under: uncultured bacterium
Lineage: Bacteria
Description: partial 16S ribosomal RNA
Rfam family: Bacterial small subunit ribosomal RNA
Source: RNAcentral
AUUGAACGCUGGCGGCAGGCUUAACACAUGCAAGUCGAGCGAGCGGCGGACGGGUGCGUACUGUCUGGGAAACUGCCUGAUGGAGGGGGAUAACUACUGGCAACGGUAGCUAAUACCGCAUACCAUCAGAUGUUCCCAGAUGGGAUUAGCUAGUCGGUGUGGUAAUGGCUCACAUAGGCGACGAUCCCUAGCUGGUCUGAGAGGAUGACCAGCCACACUGGAACUGAGACACGGUCCAGAAGCCUACGGGAGGCAGCAGUGGGGAAUAUUGCACAAUGGGCGCAAGCCGGAUGCAGCCAUGCCGAGUGUGUGAAGAAGGCCUUCGGGUUGUAAAGCACUUGCAGCGAGGAGGCGUUACUCGCAGAAGAAGCACCGGCUAACUCCGUGCCAGCCGCCGCGGUAAUUC